GUCUACGACCAUGCCACCCUGAAGAAGCUGGAUCCCGUCUGAUCUCGGAAGCUAAGCAGGGUCGGGCCUGGUUAGUACUUGGAUGGGAGACCACCUAGGAAGGCCAGGUGCUGUAGGCA
This 119-nucleotide ribosomal RNA is filed under the name Pteropus alecto (black flying fox). The record is from RNAcentral. Lineage: Eukaryota; Metazoa; Chordata; Mammalia; Chiroptera; Pteropodidae.